GGAAUAAUGUUGCAUGUUUGUUGGUGGUGCUAUUAGAUGAAUUAAGGGAAGAAGAAUUUGGAGAGUACACACAUCUCAAAGAUGUCCCUUAAAUAUUCAAACUCAGUGCAAAUCUAUUGGCAUACAUCAAAUGGGAGUAUGUUCAUAUGUCCAGGGAAACACUACCAUAGUACAAUAGAAUCAGUCUUGUGCAUCGGACUUGAUUUAUGAAAUAAAGAUUGUGAUGAUAGCAUUCCAUGUAGCUGAAAUUAUCAACCUACACAUUUGUUAUUUAAUCUUCUUAUAGCUUCAUGCUGUGCCGGAAUAAGCAAUGAUCAAGAAACGAAUUAGCCUAUAGAUAAUUUGCAACCUCAGAUAAUUGAGUGACAUUGUACAAAUAAGAUUGUUGACUAACCAUAAUAGGAUCACUCAAGUAGUUCUACUUGACAUG
RNAcentral lists this long non-coding RNA (430 nucleotides) under Capsicum annuum. RNAcentral describes it as "long non-coding RNA (CANN_LNC019665)". The record is from RNAcentral. Lineage: Eukaryota; Viridiplantae; Streptophyta; Magnoliopsida; Solanales; Solanaceae.